GAUUCCCGGUCGGUCCAGGAGCUUUUCGUAAUGGAAAUUUCCUUGACUUCCCUGGGCAUAGAGUAUAAUCGCACCUGCCUGUAGGAUCUGGAGUUUGUAGAUGGAAAGGAAUAUAGUCGAUUUGCAAGAAUAGCAUUAUUUGAGCGUGCUCUAAGAAGGUUAAUAUAAAUACGAUAUUACCUAUGAUUGUCUCAGCGUGCAUGAGUGACAGUUCGAAAUCAUGCACACGGAGAAAACUGAAAAUACUAGUUAACAUUUUAUAUAUGACACUCCAGCUAUAAGUUCGCUUUAAUCAUUGGAAUAGAUAACAAAAAUGCUCUGCUGAAAUUUAUUUUAUACUUUCCAAAUCUUAUUCUUGAGAUAUUAUCGGUUAUGCAUAUUGCAGCAGAUAUUACUCUGGGGACUUAACAAUAUUUGCUAGCCAUUUUCUUCCACUACAAAACGGAAGCCCUCACGAACGUAGAGUCAAAUUUUCAAGUCUGUGUUUGCAAAAGUUCAAUGUCGCGAUAAAAUACAUCUGGAUAAUCAUGCAUCUUGUCAGGCACCAUUAAAGAACAAAAUCUCGGUCCGAUUGGCCUGUCAUGGACGCCUCCAUUUCUGCAUCCUCCAUCUGGAAAAGGAUCCAGAAUCGGUAUGUCAGUAUCUUUACUACAACCGGCAACUAAUUUGCUUUAAGUGACAGGGAUCAUUGCCGUUUCCGCUAUUUCAUUUGAUCGAUUCACAUCGGCCCAAACAGAGACCAAGUUGUAGUGUUGUGUUGCGGUACAGCGUAUUGGAUCCGUACGAUCUGCAGAUCCUGUUUCGAUAUGAUGGAUUCUGCGAGAAUAUCGUCAAAACGGAAUGUAAGUGGAUAAUAUUAUGUUAAUAAAUCUACAUUCAUCGCACAAACUUGUGUUUUAUUAUUGAUAAAUAAAAAAACAAUAAGAAAAACAAACAUUUAAAUGGUAAUGAGGAAUUAAACCGUUUUAUGCAUGACGAAAUUAAUCACGCAAUAUGCAUGCUGUAAUAUAAAAGUCAUUUAUACUAGCGAAUCAUAAUGUUGAAAUAUGCAUGGCAAGGGGUGAAUAGACCGAAUAUGGUUUUAGUAUGACUGUUAUGCUGUUUAGCAUAUAUUUUUUUAACCGUGCAGGUGAAGCAGGCUUGUAAAACUUGCAAAGUCAGUUGAGUGAAUAUUGUUGUGGAGUGAAGAUGUGCUGUAAGUAGCAGCGGGAGUAUAAUUCGGCUGAUGGCGGAAUCAGCCGAAUGCAAUUCCGCGUUGCGGAUACUACACUGCCAUACGAUAUACGAAUACGAAAAUGGCAACUUUGGCAAAGAAAGCUCUCAGUUAAGAACUGUGAAAGUGCUCAUAGGAACACUAAGCUGAAAAGCAGGCUCUGUCCCAGUGAGGACGUUAUACGUUAUAAGAAGAAGUUAUCUAGAAAAUCCUCCAUCAUUACCUCCAGAGCUUUCAAAUUAUUUACAUACAUUCCUGGGUAAAUUGCUUAUUGAAUCUGCAGAGAAAUGGGGAAAUACUAGAAGAAUUCCAUGUAGAAAACCUUGGUGCAAAUCCUGGUGGAGUUCUGGAAAAGUUUCUGGGGAAAUCCUCUCGGAUUUUUUUUUUGAAUAACUUUGAAGAAAAACAAUUUCUCAUAAAAUGUCAGAAGAAUUGAUAAAAUCUGGCAGAGCUAAAUUUUAGGAAAUUGCUUGGAACAACCACUUUAAAUGUAAUAAAAAUCUUCAGGGAAAUUUAUAGAGAUAUCCUGAAGAAAGCAGAUAAAAGUAUUUUUGCAUAAAUUUCAGCAUAAUGUCCUGAAGCUAUUUCAGGAUUGUUUUUCCAUAUGCAAACAGUCCUAAAAUUUCUUGAGAAAACUCUGCAGAAAUUCAUGAAUCUCAUCACAGGAAAAUUCAGGUAUUUGCUCAAAGUUUCCCUCAGGUAUUACUACGAAGCUUUCUUCAGGUGCUAAUUCAGCGAUUCUUUAAACGACUUCCUGAACAAUUCCUCCAAGUUUUUCGUUCAUAAUACCUUUAUGGAUACAACCUGUUUUUUUUUUAAGUAACCUUAUAAAAA
Molecule: long non-coding RNA, 2047 nt
Filed under: Aedes aegypti (yellow fever mosquito)
Lineage: Eukaryota; Metazoa; Arthropoda; Insecta; Diptera; Culicidae
Description: lncRNA AAEL024478
Source: RNAcentral